CUGGCCGAAGGCUUCCUCCUCAGCCAAGCCCAGCGGGAAGAGCCGGGAAAGGGGCAGGAGCCGUUCACAGAGGAGAUUUCAGCAGAGCUCCGGGGCAGAGGAGAUCUAUUCCGCUCUAUUCAGGAGCUGUUUUUCUGGAGGAUCCAACUCUGGCCACCUUGCCAGAGCUCUGAUUCCUUUAAGGGGGUGAUUGUGGACUUCACAGAUGAGGAGUGGAGGCUGCUAGAUUCCGGCCAGAAGGCCUUGUGCAGAGAAGUCGUGCAGGAGUUUUCUAGGAAAAAGGCUG
Molecule: long non-coding RNA, 286 nt
Organism: Protobothrops mucrosquamatus (brown spotted pit viper)
Lineage: Eukaryota; Metazoa; Chordata; Lepidosauria; Squamata; Viperidae
Exons: 3
Source: RefSeq, a predicted model, not a curated record